RNAcentral lists this unclassified non-coding RNA (3369 nucleotides) under Leishmania donovani. RNAcentral's name for it is "gene:LdHU3.10.0090(CDS-product:Dos2-interacting_m isc_RNAion_regulator_of_RNA-Pol-II_putative)". Lineage: Eukaryota; Euglenozoa; Kinetoplastea; Trypanosomatida; Trypanosomatidae. The record is from RNAcentral.
UGACGUGAGCAAGGUCGGCUGGUGUUUGUGUGCGGUUGUCGUGAUCGACACUUUUGCCCCUCCCCCGCUCGGGAAGGCGCGUUGGUUCUGUUUAAGCACGUGCCUCGUCACGCGCGGUUUUUGUCACAUUGUUUUCCACGCGCUUUUCUUUGCGUUUAAGCGCCGCUCGGUGCCGCAGCACACGCGCGCGCCUUCUUCUCCCUCCCUCUUCUGCUGGCAACGCUAGCAGGGAGGAGUAAAUCGUAUUCUCAGGCACCCCGGCCCUUUCGCACAAAUAAGCAUCAUGAGCAUAGAGGAGCACAUAGCUGCGGCCAUUGCAGCAGAUGGCGCCGCGACCGAUGCCCUAAAAGAGGCUUUGCGCUCUCAUUCGCUGCUUUCCAUCUGUAAAGCCAUGCGGGAGCACUUGUGCACACCGGAGAAGGUGCAGCCGGCGAUGCGGUUGCUCGCAUCCGUGGCUGCUGGUCGGGCUGGUCUCAGCAGGACCGAUAUUAGGCUUCUGUUUGUAUUUUUCGCGGAGAAGCUGGCACAGCAGGAGCUCCAGACAACGGCCCUGAGCUCGCUGGCGCUGCUCAUCUCGUAUAUCAGAGAACAGCAUGAGUGCGACGAGGAGUGGUUCAAGAUUGUUGGCACACCCUUCACAGAGUAUGUGCGCGUCCAGCAACUGCCUCUUCACAGUCGCAAGCAGUGCUUUUGCAUCAUGUCUUUUUUGUUCACCGAGAAAACUAUGGACCUCUGCGAUGGCAAUAUCCUGGCGACGCUGCUUGAGCUGAUCGAUGGUGAGAGUGACCCCGAGCUAGUAUUGCUGACGUUUGACUUGCACGUGGUGGCAGCGACUCGCUCCACAAGAGAGGCAUUCGCCACCGUUGUCGACGACUAUUUCGAGAGCGUUUCCAGCUACUUCCCUGUGGUGUUCUCGCAGCCGCCGGGCUGCAAGGUGACCAAGACAGACCUGCGGACGGGCUUGAAGCGGUGUCUCUGCCUCGCCGUUUACAAGGAGCUCUGCAUCCCGUUCAUGCAGAGCAAGCUGACCUCUCCGUCCACCUCCGUCAAAGAGGACGUACUUGAUGUUCUGCUCACGUGCUUCGACACGUACUCCUCACAGGAUUUGGUGCCGCACUGCCGAUCGCUCGUGCUUCACAUGAAGAGCGAAGUGAUCAAACUGUCGUCCUUUGCUGACCGCGCAUCGAACGCGACGUUGACUAAGUGCCUGCUCAUGAGCUGUGAAGUUCUCGGUCGAGUGAGCAAGCAGUGCAGUGCCAAAACGCAGUCGGAAGCGCUAGAGAUCUUUGGACCCGUGGUGGAGGGGGUUUUGGCCGCUCUCUCCGCCGACCCGCCCACCUGCUCAGCCUAUGGAACAAUGGUGGUUCACGUCCUCACAGGGUCGUGGAAUUGCUGCCUCUUUGUCGCCUCAUAUCUGUUCUCGAUGCUCGCAAUGUCCAUCGAAGGGGCGGAGCGCCCAGCCAACGCGUUUAUCCUGCUCGCUGCCCUUGCCAGCGGCAUGCUCGACGGCUUGGAUGCGUUUCCCGGCGAAACCCACAAGGAGCAACUCCGAACUAGUAUCGAGAGAACCACCCCAAUGGUUGUGGAGACAGUGACAGGCUGCUCGCAGAGGUGGCGCGCCGCGGGCGACGAGACGUGCAUAGAUGAUUUUACUCUCAUGUGCGGUUGCGAGUUCCUCGUGUGUGUGCUGAAACUGUCUGCCGCCAUUGAGCCUUGGAUGCCGGCGGCGACGGCGUCCGAGGGAGUCGACGCCCUUGUGUGGGUGGCGCUGCAUCACACGGCUGAGGUCUCCGCAAAGGUGUGCCGGUUGCUGCGCGAGUACGCCGCUGUGGAUGCGCUGCAGGUGCAAGAAGCGCUAUCGCGCCUUCUUUGCAACCCGUCGGCGCCGCCUGAGCAGGCACUGAAUAUCGCGUGCGAACUGGCGAGUACCUCACUGGCAGCGCUUCUCCUCGUAUUUGGCGAUGGCUUCUUCUCCACAACGUGCGAGUGGAUUCGAGGAAUGGCAGCAGGGCAGCGGGCGGCGGCUCUGCAGAAGGCACUGCAGCACUUCGGGCGAGCGCUACAGGAUGGCGCCGCGGAUCGCAUGACAGCGUUGCUGGGCCGUGACGACGUGUCUCCUGAAUUCUUUGAGUGCGCAUGCCUUGUGGCUUCGAAUCUGAGUGGCGACACCUGUGGACAGCAGCUGUCCACAGAGGGAGCUCUCUCCUUGCUUGGAAUCGCGGCGGUAGUGAGCGGGCGCACACACCUUCACUGCGUGCUGUACAACUGGGCAAACACGGCGGCACAGUUUGUGGGUCUCACGACUUCCGACCACCAAGCGUGGCGUCGGGUAGGGAUGGAAGGCAUUACGGGGAUGCUUAUGAACAAGGUUUUCCCAGAGGACACACAAGCAUUGCUCACUCGCGUGUCAAGGGGGCACCUCAAUGUGGGGGUUGCCAUUCUGUGGGGCAAGCUGCUCGCCGACCGCGCUGACGGUGGUGAGGCGGCGGCGCCACCGCCUGGCGAGCUGGUGUCUUCCUUCCUGUAUCAGCACCUGGGGGUAGCAACUUCUGCCUCGUGUUGCGACCGCGCAGCGGUGCAGGAGGCCUUCUCGUACGUACCGUUCUUGGCCACUCAAGUAGGUGGCCGCCCGUCCCUCUUGCAGCUGCUCUUGGGGUCUGAAAUGAGUCAUUCGGAGCGGCCCAAUCACGCGCUGUGCUCAGCGCUCCAUUGCCUCGUUGAUAAAGAGACAGAGGAGCGAGUGCAGGCCUGUCUCGUAGACCUUUUGGCAAUGGUGCGCAAACUCACCAGCAGCGGCGCAGACAACGAGCGUGCGCUGGCUCGCGCCCUGCUCUUCAGCGUCGACGCCAAGUGCGGCGGGAGUGUUGCGUUGGCUCGCUCUGUGCUCUUCAACGAUUCAAGUGUGCAGGCGCUGCUUGAGGGCACCAAAGACGCGUCUCUUACUGUGCGGUGCCGCAGCUUGCACCUCAUUAGGUCUCUCGCCCGUGGCGCGUUGUUGUUGAUGGGGAACUGCUCUCAAGAGGAGAAGGCGGAACUGGCGCGCGCACGCGACCUUAUCCUUCUUGUCACGAAGCGGUCUCUAGGGGAUCACAAGCGAAGGGUUCGCCAGGCGUCAGUUGCGUGCCGGCAUGAAUGGUUCAAGGUGAAAUAGGCUCAUGCUCACUCCCGGCGGACUCGAGGAUGAGACAUUGGGGCAGAGGCCUGGUGGAGGGGAGGGAAGGGGGCUCAAAAGUGCGAUCUGCUCGGUCUCCUCGCUUGCACCACUCCAUGAAACUAUUGCUUCAAGGCUUAAUCGAGUCCGAUACACACACACACACAGUUGCUCGUUUCUCUUCCUAUGCCUCUCCAUGUACGGGUGGCACGCCAUGC